RNAcentral lists this non-coding RNA (19 nucleotides) under Mus musculus (house mouse). The record is from RNAcentral. Lineage: Eukaryota; Metazoa; Chordata; Mammalia; Rodentia; Muridae.
GCAGAUGAAGUCAGCAGCA